UUUAAUGAGAGUUUGAUCCUGGCUCAGGACGAACGCUGGCGGCGUGCCUAAUACAUGCAAGUAGAACGCUGAAGGAGGAGCUUGCUUCUCUGGAUGAGUUGCGAACGGGUGAGUAACGCGUAGGUAACCUGCCUGGUAGCGGGGGAUAACUAUUGGAAACGAUAGCUAAUACCGCAUAAGAGUAGAUGUUGCAUGACAUUUGCUUAAAAGGUGCACUUGCAUCACUACCAGAUGGACCUGCGUUGUAUUAGCUAGUUGGUG
Molecule: ribosomal RNA, 261 nt
Filed under: Streptococcus pneumoniae
Lineage: Bacteria; Bacillati; Bacillota; Bacilli; Lactobacillales; Streptococcaceae
Description: partial 16S ribosomal RNA
Rfam family: Bacterial small subunit ribosomal RNA
Source: RNAcentral